This is a long non-coding RNA of Heterocephalus glaber (naked mole-rat), 711 nucleotides long. The record is from Ensembl. NCBI's taxonomy places the organism in Eukaryota, Metazoa, Chordata, Mammalia, Rodentia, Bathyergidae.
CAUGGCAAGACCAUCGAGAGAGAGAGAGAGAGAGAGAGAGAGAGAGAGAGAGAGAGAGAAAGGAAGGUUACUUCUAGGGAGUAACCUACUUAGGAUAAAAGCUUUUGGGAUUCUAAAAAUCUUUCUUCCUUAGGCCCUGAACUCAAACUUUUUUACCCCUCACCCAAAACCCCUAAGGCAAUUGAAAGCUAGUUUAUUUCCCAAUCUCUACUACUUCUGUACUUUCUGAAAGUCAGUUGCCUCAAAAGGAAAAAUGGCACCAAGUUAUGCACUAAACAUUGUUGGAUUUAGGUUCCUUGGACUUACAGAAUUUUAGUUGUUCCAGAAAAAGUAGCCUCUGUGAUGUCUACCUCAGGUGUGACCCAUGGAAGAUAAUGAAAUAGGAAGAUCUUACAAAGCCAGAAACUAACAGGCAUUUUACCAAUAUCCUGUUCCUUGUCCGCUAGGCAAUACUUAAUAGGCAGUACUGAAAUACUGACAUGGGGAUGGAGAUAGAGUCUCAUGACAAAAAUAGAGGUGAACGUGUUGUGGAAAAUAUAAAGAUGGAAGUCAGAAGCUGAGAAAGCUGAGACAGAAAGAUAAGAAACUUGGUUCAUUCAUGACAUCCUGAAGUUGCUGCAGAAGUCCUAGAAUGACUACAUCUGGACUUAAAUGUCAAAAAUAAAUACCUGUUUAAACAGUUUUUUGGCUUUAUAGCUGAACAUAGGCUUG